GAUGAAGAACGCAGCGAAAUGCGAUAAGUAAUGUGAAUUGCAGAAUUCAGUGAAUCAUCGAAUCUUUGAACGCACAUUGCGCCGGCCAGUAUUCUGGCGGGCAUGCCUGUUCGAGCGUCAUUUCAACCAUCAAGCCCUGCUUGCGUUGGGGUCCUGCGGCUGCCCGCAGGCCCUGAAAACCAGUGGCGGGCUCGCUAGUCACACCGAGCGCAGUAAUACAUCUCGCUUUGGGCGUGCGGCGGGUUCUUGCCGUUAAACACCCCCUUUUUACCAAGGUUGACCUCGGAUCAGGUAGGAAUACCCGCUGAACUUAAGCAUAUCAAUAAGCGGAGGA
RNAcentral lists this unclassified non-coding RNA (334 nucleotides) under soil metagenome. RNAcentral describes it as "partial contains 5.8S ribosomal RNA, internal transcribed spacer 2, and large subunit ribosomal RNA". The stretch from base 1 to 120 matches the Rfam family "5.8S ribosomal RNA", at positions 35 to 154 of the family's 154-position model. The record is from RNAcentral.